Molecule: ribosomal RNA, 503 nt
Filed under: uncultured bacterium
Lineage: Bacteria
Description: partial 16S ribosomal RNA
Rfam family: Bacterial small subunit ribosomal RNA
Source: RNAcentral
AUUGAACGCUGGCGGCAGGCUUAACACAUGCAAGUCGAGCGGGGUGAUGGUGCUUGCACUAUCACUUAGCGGCGGACGGGUGAGUAAUGCUUAGGAAUCUGCCUAUUAGUGGGGGACAACAUCUAGAAAGGGAUGCUAAUACCGCAUACGUCCUACGGGAGAAAGCAGGGGAUCACUUGUGACCUUGCGCUAAUAGAUGAGCAUAAGUCGGAUUAGCUAGUUGGUGGGGUAAAGGCCUACCAAGGCGACGAUCUGUAGCGGGUCUGAGAGGAUGAUCCGCCACACUGGGACUGAGACACGGCCCAGACUCCUACGGGAGGCAGCAGUGGGGAAUAUUGGACAAUGGGGGGAACCCUGAUCCAGCCAUGCCGCGUGUGUGAAGAAGGCCUUAUGGUUGUAAAGCACUUUAAGCGAGGAGGAGGCUUACCUAGUUAAUACCUGGGAUAAGUGGACGUUACUCGCAGAAUAAGCACCGGCUAACUCUGUGCCAGCAGCCGCCGUAA